CAGUAGCCGCGGGAAUACGUAGGGUGCGAGCGUUAAUCGGAAUUACUGGGCGUAAAGCGUGCGUAGGCGGUGAGUUAAGUCUGCUGUGAAAUCCCCGGGCUCAACCUGGGAAUGGCAGUGGAUACUGGCUCGCUAGAGUGUGUCAGAGGAUGGUGGAAUUCCCGGUGUAGCGGUGAAAUGUGUAGAGAUCUGGAGGAAUACCGGUGGCGAAGGCGGCCCCCUGGACAAAGACUGACGCUCAGGUGCGAAAGCGUGGGGAGCAAACAGGAUUAGAUACCCCCCGUAGUCCCUGUCUCUUAUA
Molecule: ribosomal RNA, 301 nt
Filed under: uncultured bacterium
Lineage: Bacteria
Description: partial 16S ribosomal RNA
Rfam family: Bacterial small subunit ribosomal RNA
Source: RNAcentral